CCAGGAUCAGGGAGACUUUGUAAGGUCACCAUGAACUCCUGAAACUCAGCUUUCUGCAUGCUAGGGUGCAGGACUGCCAAAGGGAGACGUAGCCUUUAGCAACACCGGGAUAUCAAAGGUCCCAGAAGAUAUGACUGUCAGAAGAUAUCAGAUCUACUAUGACAGCAAUGCCUGUUGUCAGCCAUCCAGCGCCAAGACAGCAGUUCUGCCAGACCAACAAUUGAAAGGAAUUAACUGGAAGAAACCUUCUCACCAGGAGAUCACAUGCAGAGAGGGAUCAUAAGAUCAG
This is a long non-coding RNA of Calidris pugnax (ruff), 289 nucleotides long. RefSeq lists it as uncharacterized. The record is from RefSeq and is a predicted model, not a curated record. The transcript has 3 exons. Lineage: Eukaryota; Metazoa; Chordata; Aves; Charadriiformes; Scolopacidae.